Molecule: non-coding RNA, 32 nt
Filed under: Homo sapiens (human)
Lineage: Eukaryota; Metazoa; Chordata; Mammalia; Primates; Hominidae
Source: RNAcentral
GAGGUGAUCAAAGGGGUCAACGAACCUCGAGU